CAGGGAAUCCCCACGAAUGGUGACCCAUCAGGGACAAGUGAGAUCUGGAAGCUGUUACCACCCACAGGCCUCCAAGGAGCCAUAGUGCUGGAGCCCGUGGGAGAGCUGGAGCCUGGAGGAGGGUCACCGCUCAAAGGCUUGUAGAAAUACAGCCGCUGCAUUUCCCAAACUGUGGCAAGACGUGGAGGGAGCAAAGAACUGAAUACCCGAGCAUCUCUCUCGCCCGCCCUCACAUCUCCUACUGGUGCCUUGCAUUGGCUGAACCAGAAAUGGGAGGGCAGGAUGCCAAGUGUAGCAGCCCAUGGAGGCCAGCCUCUGAGGAUAGCAUCCGCACCUUACAGAAAGUGGCCCCCCAGCUGGCACCAUGGAAAAGGGACUGCCCUACUGAAGCUUUGGCCAUGGAUGAAUACAACCUGGCAAGACCUCAGUGAGGUUUAUGUCAAACUGAGGACUCACCAGUGCUGUGGAUACGCUGGUAUGCUGUAUACCCUGUUCCCAAGAGGC
Long non-coding RNA from Orcinus orca (killer whale), 504 nucleotides. RefSeq lists it as uncharacterized. The record is from RefSeq and is a predicted model, not a curated record. NCBI's taxonomy places the organism in Eukaryota, Metazoa, Chordata, Mammalia, Artiodactyla, Delphinidae. The transcript is spliced from 3 exons.